Molecule: ribosomal RNA, 1346 nt
Filed under: uncultured bacterium
Lineage: Bacteria
Description: partial 16S ribosomal RNA
Rfam family: Bacterial small subunit ribosomal RNA
Source: RNAcentral
GACGAACUUUGGCGGCGUGCUUAACACAUGCAAGUCGAACGGAAAGGCCCUGCUUUUGUGGGGUGCUCGAGUGGCGAACGGGUGAGUAACACGUGAGUAACCUGCCCUUGACUUUGGGAUAACUUCAGGAAACUGGGGCUAAUACCGGAUAGGAGCUCCUGCUGCAUGGUGGGGGUUGGAAAGUUUCGGCGGUUGGGGAUGGACUCGCGGCUUAUCAGCUUGUUGGUGGGGUAGUGGCUUACCAAGGCUUUGACGGGUAGCCGGCCUGAGAGGGUGACCGGCCACAUUGGGACUGAGAUACGGCCCAGACUCCUACGGGAGGCAGCAGUGGGGAAUAUUGCACAAUGGGCGGAAGCCUGAUGCAGCAACGCCGCGUGCGGGAUGACGGCCUUCGGGUUGUAAACCGCUUUCGCCUGUGACGAAGCGUGAGUGACGGUAAUGGGUAAAGAAGCACCGGCUAACUACGUGCCAGCAGCCGCGGUGAUACGUAGGGUGCGAGCGUUGUCCGGAUUUAUUGGGCGUAAAGGGCUCGUAGGUGGUUGAUCGCGUCGGAAGUGUAAUCUUGGGGCUUAACCCUGAGCGUGCUUUCGAUACGGGUUGACUUGAGGAAGGUAGGGGAGAAUGGAAUUCCUGGUGGAGCGGUGGAAUGCGCAGAUAUCAGGAGGAACACCAGUGGCGAAGGCGGUUCUCUGGGCCUUUCCUGACGCUGAGGAGCGAAAGCGUGGGGAGCGAACAGGCUUAGAUACCCUGGUAGUCCACGCUGUAAACGGUGGGUACUAGGUGUGGGGUCCAUUCCACGGGUUCCGUGCCGUAGCUAACGCUUUAAGUACCCCGCCUGGGGAGUACGGCCGCAAGGCUAAAACUCAAAGGAAUUGGCGGGGCCCCGCACAAGCGGCGGAGCAUGCGGAUUAAUUCGAUGCAACGCGUAGAACCUUACCUGGGUUUGACAUGGAUCGGGAGUGCUCAGAGAUGGGUGUGCCUCUUUUGGGGUCGGUUCACAGGUGGUGCAUGCCUGUCGUCAGCUCGUGUCGUGAGAUGUUGGGUUAAGUCCCGCAACGAGCGCAACCCUUGUUCACUGUUGCCAGCACGUUAUGGUGGGGACUCAGCGGAGACCGCCGGGGUCAACUCGGAGGAAGGUGGGGAUGACGUCAAGUCAUCAUGCCCCUUAUGUCCAGGGCUUCACGCAUGCUACAAUGGCUGGUACAGAGAGUGGCGAGCCUGUGAGGGUGAGCGAAUCUCGGAAAGCCGGUCUCAGUUCGGAUUGGGGUCUGCAACUCGACCUCAUGAAGUCGGGGUCGCUAGUAAUCGCAGAUCAGCAACGCUGCGGUGAAUACGUUCCCGGGGCU